AUACCUGAUAUUCUUUACAUUUCGCAUGAAAUCAAAAGGAAAGGUCAGCCGAACUAAGAUGAGCUCGCGUUCUAUCAGCUAGUUGGUGAGGUAAAAGCUCACCAAGGCAACGACGGAUAGCUGGUCUGAGAGGACGAUCAGCCACACUGGGACUGAGACACGGCCCAGACUCCUACGGGAGGCUGCAGCAGGGAAUAUUGCGCAAUGAGCGAAAGCUUGACGCAGCGACACCGCGUGUGGGAUGACGGAUCUAGGUUUGUAUACCACUUUCAGGAG
RNAcentral lists this ribosomal RNA (276 nucleotides) under uncultured bacterium. Its description in RNAcentral is "partial 16S ribosomal RNA". It matches the Rfam family "Bacterial small subunit ribosomal RNA", at positions 166 to 442 of the family's 1533-position model. The record is from RNAcentral.